This 501-nucleotide ribosomal RNA is filed under the name uncultured bacterium. RNAcentral describes it as "bacterial SSU rRNA". It matches the Rfam family "Bacterial small subunit ribosomal RNA", at positions 29 to 524 of the family's 1533-position model. The record is from RNAcentral.
AUUGAACGCUGGCGGCGUGCCUAACACAUGCAAGUCGAGCGGUAACAGGUGUAGCAAUACAUGCUGACGAGCGGCGGACGGGUGAGUAACGCUUGGGAAUCUGCCUAUUAGUGGGGGACAACCCGGGGAAACUCGGGCUAAUACCGCAUACGCACUACGGUGGAAAGCCGGGGACCGCAAGGCCUGGCGCUAACAGAUGAGCCCAAGUCGGAUUAGCUAGUUGGUAGGGUAACGGCCACCAAGGCGACGAUCCGUAACUGGUCUGAGAGGACGACCAGUCACACCGGAACUGAGACACGGUCCGGACUCCUACGGGAGGCAGCAGUGGGGAAUAUUGGACAAUGGGCGAAAGCCUGAUCCAGCGACGCCGCGUGGGUGAAGAAGGCCUGCGGGUUGUAAAGCCCUUUCAGUGGGAAGAAAAGCCUCGAGCUAAUAUCUCGGGGUCUUGACGUAACCCAUAGAAGAAGCACCGGCUAACUCUGUGCCAGCCGCCGCAGUAAC